Molecule: non-coding RNA, 107 nt
Organism: Gossypium hirsutum (cotton)
Lineage: Eukaryota; Viridiplantae; Streptophyta; Magnoliopsida; Malvales; Malvaceae
Source: Rfam
AAUCCAUGCAUCAGACAUUUCCUAAUUAACUCCUUAAAUUGCUCACGUGCUUCAUAUAGCGUUUCAUCUUCAAAUUGCCGAAAGGAUGUAAUAUCAUUUCUCAACUU